This 211-nucleotide ribosomal RNA is filed under the name uncultured bacterium. Its description in RNAcentral is "partial 16S ribosomal RNA". It matches the Rfam family "Bacterial small subunit ribosomal RNA", at positions 524 to 732 of the family's 1533-position model. The record is from RNAcentral.
UACGUAGGGGGCGAGCGUUUGUCCGGAAUUAUUGGGCGUAAAGAGCUCGUAGGCGGUUUGUCGCGUCUGCUGUGAAAACCUAAGGCUCAACCUUGGGCUUGCAGUGGGUACGGGGCAGACUAGAGUGCGGUAGGGGUGACUGGAAUUCCUGGUGUAGCGGUGGAAUGCGCAGAUAUCAGGAGGAACACCGAUGGCGAAGGCAGGUCACUGG